UCUUAUCAAGAGUGGCGGAGGGACUGGCCCUGUGAAGCCCAGCAACCGAUAGAUUGGUUCAUUUACCAAUGUAAUACGGUGCUAAUUCCUGCAGCUUUUUUUAGAGCUGGUAGAUGAGA
Molecule: non-coding RNA, 119 nt
Filed under: uncultured Clostridium sp.
Lineage: Bacteria; Bacillati; Bacillota; Clostridia; Eubacteriales; Clostridiaceae
Description: SAM riboswitch (S box leader)
Rfam family: SAM riboswitch aptamer (S box leader)
About the family: The SAM riboswitch is found upstream of a number of genes which code for proteins involved in methionine or cysteine biosynthesis in Gram-positive bacteria. The SAM riboswitch acts at the level of transcription termination control. The predicted structure consists of a complex stem-loop region followed by a single stem loop terminator region.
Source: RNAcentral